This 424-nucleotide ribosomal RNA is filed under the name Verrucomicrobiota bacterium. RNAcentral's name for it is "Verrucomicrobia bacterium partial 16S ribosomal RNA". It matches the Rfam family "Bacterial small subunit ribosomal RNA", at positions 355 to 776 of the family's 1533-position model. Lineage: Bacteria; Pseudomonadati; Verrucomicrobiota. The record is from RNAcentral.
UGAGGAAUAUUGGUCAAUGGGCGAGAGCCUGAACCAGCCAAGUAGCGUGCAGGAUGACGGCCCUAUGGGUUGUAAACUGCUUUUAUGCGGGGAUAAAGUGCGUGACGUGUCAUGCAUUGCAGGUACCGCAUGAAUAAGGACCGGCUAAUUCCGUGCCAGCAGCCGCGGUAAUACGGAAGGUCCGGGCGUUAUCCGGAUUUAUUGGGUUUAAAGGGAGCGUAGGCCGCCAGAUAAGCGUGUUGUGAAAUGUACCGGCUCAACCGGUGAAUUGAAGCGCGAACUGUUUGGCUUGAGUGCACGGUAAGCAGGCGGAAUUCAUGGUGUAGCGGUGAAAUGCUUAGAUAUCAUGAGGAACUCCGAUUGCGAAGGCAGCUUGCUGCAGUGCGACUGACGCUGAUGCUCGAAGGUGCGGGUAUCAAACAGG